Daktulosphaira vitifoliae (grape phylloxera) is the source of this 1169-nucleotide long non-coding RNA. RefSeq lists it as uncharacterized. Lineage: Eukaryota; Metazoa; Arthropoda; Insecta; Hemiptera; Phylloxeridae. The record is from RefSeq and is a predicted model, not a curated record. The transcript is spliced from 2 exons.
UUUUUUUUUGCAAAAAAAUUGUAUUAUGGUCGAUAAUAGUUUUAGGACAAAUAAUAAUCAAAUUACAAGUAUUCUAAUACAUUGAGUGGGUAUGGAACGCAAGCGAAGCUUUACACGCGUUUACUCUGCAGAGAAUACGUACAACAGCAUGGGCGCUUACCUAAUCUAUUUUUUCUCAAUUUGUCAAUCAUAUAGUAUUUUUUAUAUUUAUUUUAUUUGCAAAAUAAGGAUUUUCAACUUGUUUUUUUUUGUUUUAAGACCACACAUAAUUAAUCGAUCUUUAUUUAAAAUAAUUAAGAAAAUGACUGAUAGAAAACAAUUUUGAACUAGUAUUUCAGAUAUUAACAAUUUAUAGUAAUGACUGGGAGUGGGGCACGAAUGCUGUUAUUUUUAUCACUAGAAAUGUUUGGUCUAACUUUUCCUCCCGCCUAAGUAUAUAAAUGUUAAUAACUUCUGAUACGUUGGUAAAAGUUGUUAUUGAUCAAUCCACUAUUACACUAGAUAUAAAGAAAAAGAUACAAAGUGUAAAGUUCUCUGCAAUUUUCAGAUAAAUGCCUACAGUAAUUAGUAACCUAGCAGCAGACUAUUCAAAUUCUGGUAGCAACCUUUUCGUUACUGAUCAAGUAACUAAACACCAGUUAAUUGGUCAAUUACUCUGUAAUGUAUAAUGACUCAGUUUGUACAAAUAAGUCUCCAAUCGAAUUAAUACAAAACAAUUGCAAGUUUUCAAUAGUUUUUCCAACAACAGUAACUCCAGUUAAAGGACGAGAAAACCUCCUAUUUAAUUUUGGAUGUAAAGAGUACCCUUGAUGUUGAUUAGAGCAUAACAAAUCAAGUGGAUGAGGAAUACAUGAUGCUAAUGUUUGACUUUUCAAAAAAUUGUCUUCAAAAGACACAAAUGUCUGUUGAACAAGAAAUUCACUAGAUUGAUUUCCCAUGAUUAACAUUUCAUUAGGCUCAAAACUGAAAUUUCAAUUUUGAUAUGUUUUACACAAUUUGUUUAAAAAUAAAAUUAUUUCUCAUACCUAUUUUCAAAAUAAUGUGUAGUUAUUAAUGAUGGAGGAAUAGUCAGCAUAUGGGAAGAUUUAUGUAAAAAUCCCAUUCUAUUAUCCAAUGUUAAAACUGAAUGAUUUGUUGUAAUAUAGAAACUAUGAGCAUUAAAACUACUA